Molecule: unclassified non-coding RNA, 307 nt
Filed under: plant metagenome
Description: partial contains 5.8S ribosomal RNA, internal transcribed spacer 2, and large subunit ribosomal RNA
Rfam family: 5.8S ribosomal RNA (bases 1-105)
Source: RNAcentral
GAAAUGCGAUAAGUAAUGUGAAUUGCAGAAUUCAGUGAAUCAUCGAUUCUUUGAACGCACAUUGCGCCCGCCAGCACUCUGGCGGGCAUGCCUGUUCGAGCGUCAUUUCAACCCUCAGAACCCCUUGCGGGAUCUGGCGUUGGGGAUUGGCAUCCAGCCAGCCCCGAAAUCUAGUGGCGGUCCCUCCGCGACCUCCCCUGUGCAGUAGCGAUACCUCGCAGCGGGACAGCGGUCUGACCACGCCGUAAAACCCCCAACUUCUCAAGGUUGACCUCGAAUCAGGUAGGAAUACCCGCUGAACUUAAGC